CACGUAGGGGGCGAGCGUUGUCCGGAAUUACUGGGCGUAAAGGGCGCGCAGGCUGUUAUGCGAGUCUGCUGUGAAAUGUACCGGCUCAACCGGUGCCUUGCGGCGGAUACUGCAUAGCUGGAGUACUGGAGAGGGAAGUGGAAUUCCAAGUGUAGUGGUAAAAUGCGCAGAUAUUUGGAGGAACACCGGUGGCGAAGGCGGCUUCCUGGACUGUAACUGACGCUGAGGCACGAAAGCGUGGGGAGCAAACAGGAUUAGAUA
Molecule: ribosomal RNA, 261 nt
Filed under: uncultured prokaryote
Description: partial 16S ribosomal RNA
Rfam family: Bacterial small subunit ribosomal RNA
Source: RNAcentral